Molecule: ribosomal RNA, 497 nt
Filed under: uncultured bacterium
Lineage: Bacteria
Description: partial 16S ribosomal RNA
Rfam family: Bacterial small subunit ribosomal RNA
Source: RNAcentral
GACGAACGCUGGCGGCGUGCCUAAUACAUGCAAGUUGAGCGAUGAAGAUUGGUGCUUGCACCAAUUUGAAGAGCAGCGAACGGGUGAGUAACGCGUGGGGAAUCUGCCUUUGAGCGGGGGACAACAUUUGGAAACGAAUGCUAAUACCGCAUAACAACUUUAAACAUAAGUUUUAAGUUUGAAAGAUGCAAUUGCAUCACUCAAAGAUGAUCCCGCGUUGUAUUAGCUAGUUGGUGAGGUAAAGGCUCACCAAGGCGAUGAUACAUAGCCGACCUGAGAGGGGGCGCGGCCACAUUGGGGAGGAGACAGGCCCAAAACUCAGAGGGGGGGAACAAGGAGGGAUUCUGCGGCGAAGGACGAAAGUCAGACAGGGCAAGCCCGGGUGGGGGAAGAGGGUUUUGGGAUAGAAAAAAUCUGUGGGAGGAGAAAAACGUUGGUGGGAGGGAAAAACUCACAAAGUGAGGGUACCUACCAAGAAAGGGACGGCUAACUACGUG